AUUCGGCGAGGCUGCCCCUUUUCCCCUCCACACCAUCGAGCUCUCCGAGCUCCUUCUCUCCUGGCCAUUACCGGCCACCACCAUCAUUGGCCGAUCUCCCUCACCGGAGUAAUACCGGCCAAUACCUCGCGCCAUCGAGCUUUCCUCGAUGAGAGGAUUCCAUUUUUCCCCUUUCCCCUCUCCUUUAGCCACCGCCACCACCCAUCACCGCCACCCACCAUUGCCGGCCGAAGAGAGCUCUUGUUGUCGCCGUUCCGGCAUCCUCCCUCUCCCUCUCUGCCAGCUACCGACUUCCCUGGAUGCGCGGUACUCGGGAACACUACCCGACACCGGCGUCGCCGUCUUCAAACUACCGAAGAGCCGGCGCCCCUCCUCCCUCUCUCCCUUCUGUUACCCGGCUGGAAGGAGGAGAAAGAAAGGAACGGGAGGAAGAAGAAGAAGGAAAAGAAAAAGAAAAAGAAAGGCUGACAGAGUCCAUUUGGAUCGAGUUCUUAUCAAAGCCGGGAGUUCAAUCACAUAAGUUAGUUCCCUUUAAACCUAGUCUUGAAAUCUAGUAUUGUUAGAUGGUUUAACUCUAUAGCAAAACAUUAGAGUUGAUUUAUUCUAUAGUUUCUGCUAUAUUAGUUAGCCACAAGUUUGUAAAUACCCAUGUAUUUUAUAAUAAUAUCUCCCUUGGAGCCAUGUCAAAAUGUAUGCAAUGAAGAUCCAGAUUGUUGAACAUGUAUCAAUCUACUGAUCUAGGGCUUGAUACAGUGUAAACAUGUCGGUUUCUGAAUCGUUAAUUUUGGGACCCGACACACUCCCCAAAAACUUGAUCACCCGCCUACCCGGUGCAGAUCGUGGGAACGUGGACGCGCUGUUGCGGAGGCAGUCGUGGGAACGUGGGUUAGUGGCUGCAGGUUUCUGAAUCGUUAAUUUUGGGACCUGACACACUCCCCAAAAACCUGAUCACCCGCCUACUCGGUGUAGAUCGUGGGAACGUGGACGCGCUGUUGUGGAGGCAGUCGUGGGAACGUGGGUUAGUGGCUGCAAAAGAGUAGCGACGUGACGCAUGCACGCACGCCCGCCUCGACCCCCACCUCAACCAGUCAACAGGGAGCCUCCAAUAAUUCCCUAUUUAGGAUAAGUUGGGCCUAGCCCAAUUAUUCUAACAUGGCCGACCCGGCGUCGCAGGGGCCGCUACCCCCGCCGCACCUUCUACCAGCUCGUCGACGUCAACCUAACUUGCUCUGCCUCCGCAACAACCCCAAACUCUGCCCCUCCAUGACAGACGUCACCCGAGCACUCGAGCACGUACGUCGCCUCCCAGUCCCAGCCAUGGGAAGACAAGCAACGAGCCACGCCUGAUUGAUUCAGCCCACCUCCUUCUGAGGGGCAGACCCACGAUGAUUCAUGGGUAUUCAAAUGAAUACCCAAGAUUUUUAAACAACAAAUAUAUAUAUGAAGUUCCAUAUGUAUAUAUGAAAAAAGAAAAAAAGCCUACCUAUUCAAAAGAAGCUUAAACUAAAAACGUUUCCUAUCCCUCCCACCAUUUUUCUCCCCACUAUUUCAGGCCCAUUGGUCCAAUACCAAAAAAAAAAAAAAAAAAGCCCAAACACUAGUCUAAGUUUCUAACCCUAGCUCUCACCACCAUCCCAACUCUCCCGGUCCAGCCGCAAGGCGCCGGGGCGGCAGGGCGGGGAUGAGGUCACAUUAGCCGACGGUGGUCAUGGUGACGCAGAAGCAGGAUUUGCAAUUUCGGUGGUUGCUGAAAAUUUGGUGAUACCCGGACUAAAAUUAUUUGAAUUUUUAAUAUAUUUUGAUUGAAUUUGAAUAAAUUUUGACCAAAUUUACAAAUAUUUGACAAUAAAUAAAAAAUUUUGGAGAAAUUUGUGUUUGCCAGUGGGGGCCGAAAUUAUAGAAUUUCGAAUCGAAAUUUCAAACCAUGCUUAGAAGUAAAGGGCGUCGAGGCGCGAUUGAUGCGGGUGCCGAACAUGUGGAGAGAAGGAGGCCGCUAAUAUGCAGGACCUACGUGGGUCCCACGCGCCACGUCUGCUUAGACCAGAGAGUAUACUGCCUAGGAUCUGCGGUGUAGCAGUUUUAUAAGUUAAGGGACUCGUUAUAUCUAGUAUUUCGGUUCAGGGAUGAAUUUCAGUCUCGGUGACAAAUAGAGGGAUCUAAAGAAAACUUGUCCUAGAUCCAACGGCUAACGUUAUCCUUAGUUCCUACAAUACUACAUCCAUUUUCAUUUUCUUUUAAAUAGAUGGCACCGUUGACUAUUGAUUAUGAUAUUUGAUGGAGUAAUUAUUGAUUUUAUUACAAAAUUAUAUAAUACUCCUAUAUUUUAAUGUGACCUGCUUUAUCAUUAAAGAAAUUUUAGUAUGAAUAAUAUACUAUGUUUUAAAUUAGAUGAAUAUGGUUAAAUGUUAUUUUCAAAAUACGGGUGUAGUACAUGAUACCGAAUUAUUGAUUAAGAGAAAAUGUUUGGUUCCUUCGCCAAGUUGUCGAGAGUGGGUUUUUUCUUCAUUCAAGCACAUUGUGACACAUGGAUAAAAAUGCUUCCAAAAUUUAAUCAGCUACUGUUAGAACUCGGUUCAUUAAUUAGCGUACAAAAUGGAUAUAAACAACUAGUAAUAUUUUUUUUAUGAAAUCUGGAUAAAUCUAUUUUGCAAUUUGAUUAUUCAUAAUAUGCCUCCGAUGGUACUAAUUUGACUAAUGAAAAACCAUCGUUAGUAACCCCAUACAACAUCUCAGAGAUUAGAUAUUGUUUGACACAACUUCAGUCCAAGAUGUUGGAAUUUCGUAUUCCUAGCUACAUGGAUCUAUUGAUUUGGAUGUGUGAUUAGAUGGAUGAGUGUGCGUACAUUGUAAGCGUCUGCAUUUACAUUGUAUUUCUAGAAAAAAAUGAUUGACAAUAUUUAGAAGAAUUAUUUUGUUCA
Non-coding RNA from Oryza sativa Japonica Group (Japanese rice), 2918 nucleotides. The record is from RefSeq and is a predicted model, not a curated record. NCBI's taxonomy places the organism in Eukaryota, Viridiplantae, Streptophyta, Magnoliopsida, Poales, Poaceae.